Molecule: ribosomal RNA, 240 nt
Filed under: uncultured bacterium
Lineage: Bacteria
Description: partial 16S ribosomal RNA
Rfam family: Bacterial small subunit ribosomal RNA
Source: RNAcentral
UGGCGAACGGGUGAGUAACGCGUGAGGAACCUGCCUCAAAGAGGGGGGAAACAGUUGGAAACGACUGCUAAUACCGCAUAAGCCCACGACCCGGCAUCGGGAAGAGGGAAAAGGAGCAAUCCGCUUUGAGAUGGCCUCGCGUCCGAUUAGCUAGUUGGUGGGGUAACGGCCCACCAAGGCAACGAUCGGUAGCCGGACUGAGAGGUUGAACGGCCACAUUGGGACUGAGACACGGCCCAG